UAGUUUUUGAAAGUAUAUUAGUACUUCAUGUCAAAUUUUAGGUUGUUUGGAUGGUCCAAUCGUGAGAUAUAAGCUAUUGAAGUUCAAAAAAUAUUUUUCAUCAAGAUAUAUAAGGUUUUAAGAUACUUUAUCAUACAUUUGGGUGUUUUUUUGGUACUUGGGCUUAUGAAUUGAUAUAAUUGCAAUAAAAGGGAAAAUAUUAUAUAUAUAAAUUUGGUACAUUUAUAUCUUAGACUUUUUUGAGCAUUUAGUGGCAGCCAUAAAACCCAUACAAGAGAGUGGACAUAUCAAGAAGAAGACAAGUUCUACCUCUUCCUAUAGAAGUGGACAAUAAUGAAGAGUUCGAAGUGGAAGAAGUUCUAGAUUCAAGGUGGCAUCAAAAUAAAUUAAAAUAUCUUAUCAAUUGGCUCGGAUAUGAUAUUAGUGAAUACACAUGGGAGCCAGUAAAGAAUCUUGCAAAUGCAGCAAAGGCAAUGGAAGCUUUUUAUUGAUGACAUCCAUCAAAAUCAAAAUGAAAACCUU
This 522-nucleotide long non-coding RNA is filed under the name Physcomitrium patens. RNAcentral describes it as "long non-coding RNA (PPAT_LNC000871)". Lineage: Eukaryota; Viridiplantae; Streptophyta; Bryopsida; Funariales; Funariaceae. The record is from RNAcentral.